This 525-nucleotide ribosomal RNA is filed under the name uncultured Salinibacter sp. Its description in RNAcentral is "SSU rRNA". It matches the Rfam family "Bacterial small subunit ribosomal RNA", at positions 340 to 865 of the family's 1533-position model. Lineage: Bacteria; Pseudomonadati; Rhodothermota; Rhodothermia; Rhodothermales; Salinibacteraceae. The record is from RNAcentral.
UACGGGAGGCAGCAGUGGGGAAUCUUGCACAAUGGGGUCACCCCUGAUGCAGCCAUGCCGCGUGGAGGAAGACACCCCUAUGGGGCGUAAACUCCUUUUCUGAACGAAGAAAACUCUGUAGGUUCAGAGCGAGACGGUAGUUCAGGAAUAAGCACCGGCUAACUCCGUGCCAGCAGCCGCGGUAAUACGGAGGGUGCAAGCGUUGUCCGGAAUCACUGGGUGUAAAGGGUGUGCAGGCGGGGCAGCAAGUCGGAUGUGAAAGCCCGUGGCUCAACCACGGAAGCGCCUUCGAAACUGUUGCUCUUGAGUCCCGGAGAGGCUGUCGGAAUUCGUGGUGUAGCGGUGAAAUGCGUAGAUAUCACGAGGAACACCAGAGGCGAAAGCGGACAGCUGGACGGGUACUGACGCUCAGGCACGAAAGCGUGGGGAGCAAACAGGAUUAGAUACCCUGGUAGUCCACGCCGUAAACGAUGAACGCUCGCCGUUGCCCCGCUCAAGGGGCAGUGGCUAAGCUAACGCGUAAGC